RNAcentral lists this small RNA (115 nucleotides) under Clostridium butyricum. Its description in RNAcentral is "Hfq binding sRNA". The record is from RNAcentral. Lineage: Bacteria; Bacillati; Bacillota; Clostridia; Eubacteriales; Clostridiaceae.
UACCACAAGUUUGACUUGUGGUUCCGGAAAGCUUUUAGCUAUGAGUAGAAAAAAAUAAACCUCCGUUGUAAAAUUAUAGUAGGUUUGCCGACCAAUACUAUAAAAUACAAGGAGG